UCUAGGGUUUAUACGCACGAGCGCGGGAUGGUGUCCUACACGACGCUCGCUCUGGCGCUGGGGGUGUUCAUCGCUGUGAGCGGCCCCAAGGACAUCCACAGGUACGCCAGAAUGGGGGGAAGGCUUGUGGGACGAACUGUGGGGUUUGUGAAGACUACCAAGGGCGAAUUCGAUGGCGUGAUGGGAAAAUCUCAGAUGAGCGAGGUUCACAAAGAGUUGAAAGAGGCAAUGGCUCAGCUUAAUGCUAUACGGUAUGAGAUUCGAAGUGGUCUUUCCUUCACUGGCUCGCCUCCGGUACGAGAAGUGUAUCCUGAGGAGUCUGCUACUGCUAGUCAUUCUACUGCGACCUCCACCGUGACCUCUCAAACCGUGACCACCACAACAACAGCCACAGCAUCUUCCCAAGAUGCUUCCUCACAUCAAGGCUUCGAUGUCGCUGCUCAAACUUUGGCCUCGGCGACAGCAUCACAAGUCACAGCCACGACUUCUGCAAGCUCAGAUCACCAUGGUCUACCCUCGAGCCAAAUGGAACAGCUUCGUAAGCAAUUCUACAAUCAGGAGAUGCAGCAGAACAGUAAGCCAGGAGUCGAUUUCGUCAAGAUGGAAGUAAACCAUUCACUCGCUGCCAGACGACCGCAAAGUGCUCCAGACAAGGAAGUCGAUGUUAUACCAGUCUCGGCAGCGAUAGCAAAGCUGAUCCCAGAAAGAACAGGUCCAACUACUGGAUCGGACAUAAUGCUGGAAGCCAUCGAAGAAAUGAAGGUGGCUUCUCAUGCUCUUGUUGUCAUGAAGCAGUACGCCGUGAAUCUUAGUCAGCAGCAACCAGAGCAAGAUCAGCAUCAGCAGGACCAGCAGCAACAGUAGCAGUCAAAAGUUCGUUUUGUUCUCUCCCCCAUUUUCCUCAAAAGCAGAGGAUCUUUCGGAGCCCUAAAAAGCAUGGAGAAUGCCGUGAAGGACUAUGCGGCAGGACUGGCGGCUGGAUUGGCGACUGUGACCGUCGGGCAUCCAUUCGACACUGUCAAGGUGAACUUACAAGCCCGAAGCCCAGUAGCGCAUGCUAGCGCCAUUCGCUGUGCAGGAUGGAUUCUCAAUCACGAAGGGGUAAGAGGUUUGUACAAAGGUGCUACAUCUUCUUUUGCCGGCAUGGCUGUUGAAGGCUCGCUGCUGUUCGGCAUUUAUUCACAGACAAAAGCAAGAUUGCAGGAAGGGAGGAGAGGCAGCAGCAAGAACACCCAAUCUUUCUACUGUGCUGCCCUCCGCAGCAUUCGGUGGAGGAAUGAUCAGUUUGAUACUCUGUCCUACGGAACUAGUUAAGUGUAGGCUCCAGGUUCAAGAGAAGGGUUCUUCGAGCAAAGAGCUGCGAAGAUACUCCGGUCCAUUGGAUUGUGCAAAAAAAACUAUUCACGCUGGAGGGGUUCCAGGAUUGUUUCGAGGACUGUCAGCUACAUUUUUCAGGGAAUGUGUCGGAAAUAUGUGCUUUUUUGCAACAUAUGAGACGAGUCGGUCGUU
Selaginella moellendorffii is the source of this 1509-nucleotide RNA transcript. It is a transcript of the gene named mitochondrial arginine transporter BAC1, with no coding region annotated. The record is from RefSeq and is a predicted model, not a curated record. The transcript has 13 exons. NCBI's taxonomy places the organism in Eukaryota, Viridiplantae, Streptophyta, Lycopodiopsida, Selaginellales, Selaginellaceae.